RNAcentral lists this ribosomal RNA (784 nucleotides) under uncultured bacterium. RNAcentral's name for it is "bacterial SSU rRNA". It matches the Rfam family "Bacterial small subunit ribosomal RNA", at positions 551 to 1335 of the family's 1533-position model. The record is from RNAcentral.
UUAUUGGGCGUAAAGAGCUUGUAGGUGGUUUGUCGCGUCUGCGGUGAAAUCCCAACGCUUAACGUUGGGCUUGCCGUGGGUACGGGCAGACUAGAGUGUGGUAGGGGAGACCGGAAUUCCUGGUGUAGCGGUGAAAUGCGCAGAUAUCAGGAGGAACACCGAUGGCGAAGGCAGGUCUCUGGGCCAUAACUGACACUGAGAAGCGAAAGCAUGGGGAGCGAACAGGAUUAGAUACCCUGGUAGUCCAUGCCGUAAACGUUGGGCGCUAGGUGUGGGGCUCAUUCCACGAGUUCCGUGCCGCAGCUAACGCAUUAAGCGCCCCGCCUGGGGAGUACGGCCGCAAGGCUAAAACUCAAAGGAAUUGACGGGGGCCCGCACAAGCGGCGGAGCAUGCGGAUUAAUUCGAUGCAACGCGAAGAACCUUACCAAGGCUUGACAUACACCGGAAACAUCCAGAGAUGGGUGCCCCGCAAGGUCGGUGUACAGGUGGUGCAUGGUUGUCGUCAGCUCGUGUCGUGAGAUGUUGGGUUAAGUCCCGCAACGAGCGCAACCCUCGUUCUAUGUUGCCAGCGCGUUAUGGCGGGGACUCAUAGGAGACUGCCGGGGUCAACUCGGAGGAAGGUGGGGAUGACGUCAAAUCAUCAUGCCCCUUAUGUCUUGGGCUUCACGCAUGCUACAAUGGCCGGUACAAAGGGCUGCGAUACCGCGAGGUGGAGCGAAUCCCAAAAAACCGGUCUCAGUUCGGAUUGGGGUCUGCAACUCGACCCCAUGAAGUCGGAGUCGC